AGCAGCCGCGGUAAUUCCAGCUCCAAUAGCGUAUAUUAAAGUUGUUGCAGUUAAAAAGCUCGUAGUUGAAUUUCGGGGUCAGUAGGUCGGUCGUGCCACUGGUAUGAACUGGUUUUACUGAUUCCUCCCUCUUGAAGAACUGUAAUGCCAUUAAUUUGGUGUUGCAGGGAAUCAGGACUGUUACUUUGAAAAAUUAGAGUGUUUAAAGCAGGCUUUAGCCUGAAUACAUUAGCAUGGAAUAAUGAAAUAGGACGUUUGAUCCUAUUUUGUUGGUUUCUAGGAUUGACGUAAUGAUUAAUAGGGAUAGUUGGGGGCAUUAGUAUUCAAUUGUCAGAGGUGAAAUUCUUGGAUUUAUUGAAGACUAACUACUGCAAAAGCAUUUGCCAAGGAUGUUUUCAUUAAUCAAGAACGAAAGUUAGGGGAUCGAAGACGAUCAGAUACCAUCGUAGU
Molecule: ribosomal RNA, 450 nt
Filed under: uncultured Glomus
Lineage: Eukaryota; Fungi; Glomeromycota; Glomeromycetes; Glomerales; Glomeraceae
Description: SSU rRNA
Rfam family: Eukaryotic small subunit ribosomal RNA
Source: RNAcentral